This 672-nucleotide long non-coding RNA is filed under the name Fukomys damarensis (Damara mole-rat). RNAcentral describes it as "lncRNA (ENSFDAG00000023122.1)". Lineage: Eukaryota; Metazoa; Chordata; Mammalia; Rodentia; Bathyergidae. The record is from RNAcentral.
AUGGGAGAGUGCCUGGGCUGGGCUUCUGGAUUCCCGACUGCCGAGGACACCCAGAACGAGGAACGAGCUGAGCUUCCUGGGCCACAAGACAGGACGGCGGCCCAGAGCCCCCACCUUGGGCAGCAUGAAGCUGGCGACUGCUCUUUCCAUCUCAAGCCAGUUGCAAAAGCCAUCCUGAUUCCUUACUCUGUCUCCACAUCCAACCUCACAAGCUCCCACCACCACCAUUUCGAUCUCAGCUCUGCCCACUGGAGCCAUCUCUGUGCUGGAGUCUCUGGCUUCCAUCCUCGGUCUCCUGUCCGCCUUCUGAGGGCCACUGGCCAGCAACUGCGAUGGAGCCUGGUGGAGGAGCGCAGGACUCCUGGGCUGAAUGUGUCCUCACGCCGCCCUCACCAGGGCCAGAGCAGUCCUGGUGCCGGAGACCGAGGCGACCCGGGUUAGGACGCGUCUGCCGCCACCCCAGCCGGGGCUUCCCCUUCGGCCCACUCGGCUCCUCCGGCCUCUGCGAAGUUCCCAUCUGGGUCCGCCAGAGGGCGCCCGGGGCAGAGGAGAGGGUGGGUGCCAGGGCUCCGGGACUGCAGCACCGAGGGGGUCCAGCCACGGAGUGUCCGCAGCUGCUGUCGGCGCGGCGCCUGCGUGGCCAGGAAUCGAGAUGGGGAGAGGCCGGGGCUG